CUAUGCCCUAACCAUUCCUCCUUUACCCCCUCCUUCUAUUAGAGAAACCCUCGUCGCCGCCUAAAACCCUUUGUCCCCUUAAAAGAGUCAGCCACUCCUGACCCGAGCCCUAACUCGAACUCCGGCCCCGACCCCAGACCUAGCCCUAACCCGAUGAAGCCAAUAGGUCAGCAUUCGAAGCCCAAGUCCCUGACAGGAG
This 199-nucleotide long non-coding RNA is filed under the name Elaeis guineensis (African oil palm). RNAcentral's name for it is "long non-coding RNA (EGUI_LNC043882)". The record is from RNAcentral. Lineage: Eukaryota; Viridiplantae; Streptophyta; Magnoliopsida; Arecales; Arecaceae.